CUCAGCCAGGGUUAGGCUGGCAGAGGGGCUUCAGGCACAGAGGGCUGUAAAGGAACUUGCAGUGUCUGGGUCUGAGCAGGGUUUGUAGGUGGAGCUGAUUAGUUGCAGGAGCAGAAACAGUUUCAGAGCCAAGUCCUGACACCCACCAUCCCAGGAUCCUGUCUUACAACCAGGCCAAGUCAUGAAGAGGCAGCUGGGCGCUCUGCUGGGGCUUUUGUGCACCCACCUUUGCUGUGUGAGAGGGAUGCAGGUGGAGCAGAGUCCUCCAGCCCUGAUCCUCCAGGAAGGAGCCAGUUCCACUCUGCUGUGCAAUUUUUCUACCUCUGCGAACAAUGUGCAGUGGUUUCGCCAAAAUCCCGGGGGACGCCUCAUCAACCUGUUUUACAUUCCUUCAGGGACAAAGCAGAGUGGAAGACUAACGUCCACGACAGUCUCUAAGGAACGCCGCAGCUCCUUGUACAUUUCCUCUUCCCAGACCACCGACUCUGCGGUUUAUUUCUGUGCGGUGGGUGCACAGUGCAGCCCAGGCACCUGCAGCUGUUGCACAAACCCUCAGCGGCUCGGCCCCUCCCCCAGCCACAGGCUCCUCAGGAGGCCCUGGGACAGCACUUGCACCUUUAUCACUCAUGUUGAUAUGAUAGAGUUUUACCCACAGAUAUUUUUGGCCUCAUAA
Marmota monax (woodchuck) is the source of this 673-nucleotide non-coding RNA. NCBI's taxonomy places the organism in Eukaryota, Metazoa, Chordata, Mammalia, Rodentia, Sciuridae. The record is from the annotation of a RefSeq genome assembly.